CCUCGUCUUCUCGGAUUCCACCGGCUUCUUAGUCUUCUCCAGCUUCCCUGCCUCAGAGAUACCUAUAGAUAAAGGUAGGAACUUGCAGAGAGGAAACAAGAUUUUCUUCAUUCCUAUUAGAAAAAUAAGAAGCAAAAAGAAAUCUUGAGUAAGUGCAGGCUUUAUUUCGCAUACUCAUUUUAAAAGAAUUAGUGGGUGCUAUGGUUUUCUUGAAAUAGAGCAAGUGAAAUUUUUUGGAGUUCUUUUUUUUUGUUUAAAAGAAAAAAAGGAGCUUGCAAUUCUUGAAAAUUAAGUGCUUUGUUGGUUUUUUGCAUCAUUGCAUGGAAGUUUGUUCAGUUUUAGGCUUUUCGAGUUGCAGAUAACAAAUAAGUGAUUGUAUUGCAUAUUUUGUGUUUGUAUUUUCUAAAAGACGGAUCAUGGAAACAUGUAAAUGCUGGGGGAAAAGGAGCUCCCGAAGGAGACUAUUUUGCAGAAAAAUCAAUUCCUAAAAUUUUUCAUGGGUGCUUCAAAUAUUUAUUAGCCAAAGGAAGAGCUACACUUUUCUUAUGAUGUUUGUGAUGAUGUGAUCAUGUGACGUUGGUGACUGCAAACGAUUUAUGUUCAAAGAAAUUAAAUGGAACGAUCAAAUAUCAAAGAGGUAAUAAAUAAUCUGCACAAAUAGAGGGUAAGUCCUUGUGCAAUGGUAUGAUUGCUUCAUUGAGGCCUAAAGUCGAAGGUUUGAAACAAGCAAAUAACAUUUUUAAGACACAACGGUAAAAUUGCACGCAUCUAACCCUCUUCAAACCUACUGUGAUGGGGGGUCUCAAACACUGGACCAUGUUUAUUUUAGUAAUCUACACCAAUAUCAUGGUAAUCUUGUGGAAAACACUACAUAUAAAAUGCUUUGAAAUUUGACAAUAUCAAAUUAUAAAAAAUGCUUGAGUAACUCCAAAUAAAACUCAAAAAGUCGCUUAGUUUGUAUUGUAUUCUCGUCACUCACUUUGAAUUGGCAUCAUGAAUUGUGCCACAUAAUGAGGCAACGUGGUUGUGAAAGAAUAUCGACUUUCUUGUGAUUUUUCUGAGUUACCAUAGCAUGGAUCAAUUAUAAAAUAAGAUUUUACGGGUAAACAAGGCUACAGCCCUUUGGCUGCACCUCCCUCUAUUGGGAGGAGCAUUGUUCCGAACAAAAGGGAAGAGAAAUAGAGCAUUUAUGAAGAAAUUCAAUGGUAGCCUCUCUUAUUGUCCAGAACUAUGACUUACCUGACUUCCAUCCUUUUUUUGGCUAUAAAAAAAGUUCAUAUCUAAAUUUUUAAUUGUAAAUAUAUACUCAACUCAACUAAGCCUAAUCUCGAAACUAAUUAGGAUUAGCUACAUGCAUUUUCCUCCAUUAUGCUUGGUUUAAGGCCAUACGUUCUGAAGGAUUUGAGAUAUCAAGUCUUUCUUUGUUAGAAUAAGUAUAAAGACUCAAACAGAAUGAAAAUUAUUGUUUCAGUAUUUAAUUUGGUUUGUACACCUCCUUCUUCAUUUCUCAUUACACCGGAUCUCUUUGUCAAUUUCAGAUCCCCCUUCAAAGGAGAGCACAGAUGCCAUAUAUACUCGACUUCCACAAAUGGCAUUGAAUUUAACAAAGGGGGAUUCGCUGAAAGGUACCAAUUUUGAAAGUUUUAUGUUUUGACUUCUGAUUUUUUUUUUUUUAAGCCAAAUGGGGAAAAGUCAGUAAGUCAUCACCAUUUUAUUGAAUUAGUGAAAUGAUCAUCGAAUAAAUCAAGUGAUGCAUGAAAGAAGGUCUUAGUAGAGAACCUCAAGAAGAGAGAACAAAAAAUAUCAAACCCUCCCCAGAACACCCAAAAAAAUAAAACAAGAAAAAAGGGGAAUACAAUCCACAACAGCCUUCACAAUGUGUAAAAUUCCACCCAUCAAUCUGUACAAAUUGCCGUUCAAGUAUCGCAUACAUAAACACCGAUGAUGGGCUUGUGAUCAUUAAGUUUUACUUGAUUCAUCACUGGCAUCACAGCUGCCCAAUAGGUGGUGAAAGAAGACUUCUGAAAUAAUUAACAAGCAUAAAUUCAUACUUGAUCCAAAAAUAUUCUGAGAUUGGGAUGACCCUACAUGAAUGCAUGAAUAACCAUGUUGGAUCUGAAACCUGAUAAUAUUUAUACCGGUCGAGCAGCGUAGUGUUAGUUUAGAGUGCAUUUGCUUUGAUUUAUUGAUAGUAAGAUGAAUACAAUGCCAUAGCUACUGUCUGAUCAAACUCCUUAUGUUUCUUUAGCUUUCUUCUUCUGCCUCUUUUUUUUUUUUUUUAUCGAACUUCUAGUAAUAAGUAUUGGCUUGAUAAUUACUUGAAACCUGGAUGAAUGGUGCUGCAGAACAAUGUGACCUAUUUUCUGGGGAGUGGAUUCAUUCUUCGGGACCGCCUUACACCAAUUCAAGCUGCAGAUAUAUAGGUUCAUAUCAAGAUUGUUUGACAAAUGGUCGGCCAGACAGAGGAUACCUUUACUGGAGAUGGAAACCUUAUGGUUGUGACUUGCCCCCCUUCGAUGCAGAGAAAUUCUUGAAAUCCCUGCAAAAUAAAUCUUGGGCAUUUGUUGGUGAUUCAAUUCUCCGCAAUCAGAUCGAGUCAUUGCUGUGCCUUCUUUCUCAGGUGCAUCUUAUGCAUUUUGUUAAACAAAUUGAUUUUUAUAGUAUUUGCUGAAAAUAUAAUUUUAGAAAAAAUAUUUCAUACGCCCCAUCUCUUCACAUAUCUAUCGCAUGCAGCAGCCAUUAAUCUCAUUAAAUAGGUUUUCCAAGUCACCAAAAUAGUUUACUCUGUAUAGAAUUUGGAAGCUAAAAAAUGGUCGGCUUUGCUUGUUAAAGAGCAUGAAAAAUUAAAAUUUAGUUUCAUAACUCGAACAGCAACUCAUCAAUUUCUUUUUUCUUUUCUUUUUAAGUAUACACUCAUAGUUUUCCUAUAAAAUACCUGUGAAUGACGAGCCAAUGCAUCCUGGUCCUCAGGUGGAAGAAGGUGAGGAGAUCUACCAUGAUGAAACAUUUCAAUCCAAGACAUGGUACUUCUCGUCCCACAACUUCACCCUUGCAUUGAUCUGGGCUCC
This 3068-nucleotide long non-coding RNA is filed under the name Elaeis guineensis (African oil palm). RNAcentral describes it as "long non-coding RNA (EGUI_LNC000387)". Lineage: Eukaryota; Viridiplantae; Streptophyta; Magnoliopsida; Arecales; Arecaceae. The record is from RNAcentral.